This 505-nucleotide ribosomal RNA is filed under the name uncultured bacterium. RNAcentral's name for it is "bacterial SSU rRNA". It matches the Rfam family "Bacterial small subunit ribosomal RNA", at positions 9 to 507 of the family's 1533-position model. The record is from RNAcentral.
GAGUUUGAUCAUGGCUCAGAUUGAACGCUGGCGGCAGGCCUAACACAUGCAAGUCGAGCGGUAGAGAGAAGCUUGCUUCUCUUGAGAGCGGCGGACGGGUGAGUAAUGCCUAGGAAUCUGCCUGGUAGUGGGGGAUAACGCUCGGAAACGGACGCUAAUACCGCAUACGUCCUACGGGAGAAAGCAGGGGACCUUCGGGCCUUGCGCUAUCAGAUGAGCCUAGGUCGGAUUAGCUAGUUGGUGAGGUAAUGGCUCACCAAGGCGACGAUCCGUAACUGGUCUGAGAGGGUGAUCAGUCACACUGGAACUGAGACACGGUCCAGACUCCUACGAGAGGCAGCAGUGGGGAAUAUUGGACAAUGGGCGAAAGCCUGAUCCAGCCAUGCCGCGUGUGUGAAGAAGGUCUUCGGAUUGUAAAGCACUUUAAGUUGGGAGGAAGGGCAGUAAAUUAAUAACUUUGUCUGUUUUGACGUUACCGACAGAAUAAGCACCGGCUAACUCUGUG